AUUUCUUGGCCUCUUGGCUAAGGUCAAGUAUAGUAUCUGUUCUUAUCAGUUUAAAAAAUAUAUUUCACCUCCAUUUUUGAAGAAUAUUUUCUCUGGAUGUAGAAUGCUAGAUUGAAAGGUUUCCUUUUAUCUUCCCAGCACUUAAGUAUCAUCCCAUGUCCUCUGUUUCUGAUUAUAAAAAGGAGCCAUU
Pteropus alecto (black flying fox) is the source of this 190-nucleotide non-coding RNA. NCBI's taxonomy places the organism in Eukaryota, Metazoa, Chordata, Mammalia, Chiroptera, Pteropodidae. The record is from Rfam.